RNAcentral lists this ribosomal RNA (292 nucleotides) under uncultured bacterium. Its description in RNAcentral is "partial 16S ribosomal RNA". It matches the Rfam family "Bacterial small subunit ribosomal RNA", at positions 505 to 796 of the family's 1533-position model. The record is from RNAcentral.
GUGCCAGCAGCCGCGGUAAUACGGGGGGGGCAAGCGUUGUUCGGAAUUACUGGGCGUAAAGGGUUCGUAGGUGGCCAACUAAGUCAGACGUGAAAUCCCUCAGCUUAACUGGGGAACUGCGUCUGAGACUGGAUGGCUUGAGUGCAGGAGAGGAACGCGGAAUUCCAGGUGUAGCGGUGAAAUGCGUAGAUAUCUGGAGGAACACCGGUGGCGAAGGCGGCGUUCUGGACUGCAACUGACACUGAGGAACGAAAGCCAGGGGAGCAAACGGGAUUAGAAACCCCCGUAGUCC